GAUGAACGCUAGCGGCAGGCCUAAUACAUGCAAGUCGAGGGGUAGAUGGAGCUUGCUCCAUUGAGACCGGCGCACGGGUGCGUAACGCGUAUGCAACCUACCCUUUUCUGGGGGAUAGCCCGGAGAAAUCCGGAUUAAUACCGCAUGAAACCACAGUCCUUCAUGGACAAUGGUCAAACAUUUAUGGGAAAAGGAUGGGCAUGCGUGCCAUUAGCUAGUUGGCGGGGUAACGGCCCACCAAGGCGACGAUGGCUAGGGGAUCUGAGAGGAUGGCCCCCCACACUGGUACUGAGACACGGACCAGACUCCUACGGGAGGCAGCAGUAAGGAAUAUUGGUCAAUGGGGGCAACCCUGAACCAGCCAUGCCGCGUGCAGGACGACGGCCCUCCGGGUUGUAAACUGCUUUUGUACGGGAAUAAACCUGCGUUCGUGAACGUAGCUGAAUGUACCGUAAGAAUAAGGAUCGGCUAACUCCGUGCCAGCCGCCGCCGUAA
RNAcentral lists this ribosomal RNA (495 nucleotides) under uncultured bacterium. Its description in RNAcentral is "partial 16S ribosomal RNA". It matches the Rfam family "Bacterial small subunit ribosomal RNA", at positions 28 to 523 of the family's 1533-position model. The record is from RNAcentral.